This 653-nucleotide ribosomal RNA is filed under the name uncultured bacterium. RNAcentral describes it as "bacterial SSU rRNA". It matches the Rfam family "Bacterial small subunit ribosomal RNA", at positions 59 to 710 of the family's 1533-position model. The record is from RNAcentral.
CAGUCGAACGAAGCACUUAAGACAGAUUACUUCGGUUUGAAGUCUUUUAUGACUGAGUGGCGGACGGGUGAGUAACGCGUGGGUAACCUGCCUCAUACAGGGGGAUAGCAGCUGGAAACGGCUGGUAAUACCGCAUAAGCGCACGGUAUCGCAUGAUACAGUGUGAAAAACUCCGGUGGUAUGAGAUGGACCCGCGUCUGAUUAGCUGGUUGGUGAGGUAACGGCCCACCAAGGCGACGAUCAGUAGCCGACCUGAGAGGGUGACCGGCCACAUUGGGACUGAGACACGGCCCAGACUCCUACGGGAGGCAGCAGUGGGGAAUAUUGCACAAUGGAGGAAACUCUGAUGCAGCGACGCUGCGUGAGUGAAGAAGUAGUUCGCUAUGUAAAGCUCUAUCAGCAGGGAAGAUAGUGACGGUACCUGACUAAGAAGCUCCGGCUAAAUACGUGCCAGCAGCCGCGGUAAUACGUAUGGAGCAAGCGUUAUCCGGAUUUACUGGGUGUAAAGGGAGUGUAGGUGGCCAGGCAAGUCAGAAGUGAAAGCCCGGGGCUCAACCCCGGGACUGCUUUUGAAACUGCAGGGCUAGAGUGCAGGAGGGGCAAGUGGAAUUCCUAGUGUAGCGGUGAAAUGCGUAGAUAUUAGGAGGAACACC